AGUGAACGCUGGCGGCGUGCUUAACACAUGCAAGUCGAGCGAAUUCUAACAGUGUAUCGUUAGAGUUAGCGGCAGACGGGUGAGUAAUUCUUGGGCAAUCUGCCCUCGAGAGGGAAACAACCUGCCGAAAGGUAGGCUAAUGUUCCAUAAGACCACGGGGUCGCAUGAUCCAGAGGUCAAAGCUCCGCAAGGGGCACUUGAGGAGGAGCCCGAGACCUAUCANGGUAGUUGGUGAGGUAACGGCUCACCAAGCCUUUGACGGGUAGCCGGCCUGAAAGGGUGAUCGGCCACACUGGCACUGAGACACGGGCCAGACUCCUACGGGAGGCAGCAGUGGGGAAUUUUGGACAAUGGGGGCAACCCUGAUCCAGCGACGCCGCGUGGAGGAUGAAGGUCUUCGGAUUGUAAACUCCUUUUGGAGGGGAAGAAUGCCCUGGUGAAGAACCGAGGGUGACGGUACUCUCUGAAUAAGCCACGGCUAACUACGUGCCAGCCGCCGCGGUAAG
RNAcentral lists this ribosomal RNA (506 nucleotides) under uncultured bacterium. RNAcentral describes it as "bacterial SSU rRNA". It matches the Rfam family "Bacterial small subunit ribosomal RNA", at positions 29 to 524 of the family's 1533-position model. The record is from RNAcentral.